GGGGGGUGUGAGCCCACGGACAGUGCCACAGAAAACACACCGCCGAUGGCCGCAAGGCUCAGGCAAGGGUGAAAAGGUGCGGUAAGAGCGCACCGCGCGACGGGUAACCGUUCGCGGCACGGAAAACCCCAUCCGGAGCAAGGCCAAAUAGGGAAGCAGCGGGGCGACCCGCGCGUGCGGUCCGCACGGCUUCCGGGUAGGCCGCUAGAGGCGCGCGGCGACGCGCGUCCCAGAUGAAUGGCUGUCCACGACAGAACCCGGCUUACAGGCCGGCUCCUUAU
Molecule: RNase P RNA, 281 nt
Filed under: Gammaproteobacteria bacterium
Lineage: Bacteria; Pseudomonadati; Pseudomonadota; Gammaproteobacteria
Description: partial RNase P RNA component class A
Rfam family: Bacterial RNase P class A
About the family: Ribonuclease P (RNase P) is a ubiquitous endoribonuclease, found in archaea, bacteria and eukarya as well as chloroplasts and mitochondria. Its best characterised activity is the generation of mature 5'-ends of tRNAs by cleaving the 5'-leader elements of precursor-tRNAs.
Source: RNAcentral